UCUGCAGGUCUGGCAGCUCCAGUGCAGAAUGGAGAAGCCUCUCUCAGGAGUUUAGAGACUGAAGAAGGAGCUGGACACUGGAGAUGUUGGCAAGGCCUGGUUUGAGAAAACAAGAUCUUCUUUCCCCUUGUCUCCUGUAAGCUCUUUGUUUCUUCCUGCAUCCUGACAUUUGUGAAGAAGAGGCUAGAGAAUGCUGCCCUCACUACCUGAGCUCUCAGCCUGAUGGGUC
This 229-nucleotide long non-coding RNA is filed under the name Dasypus novemcinctus (nine-banded armadillo). RNAcentral's name for it is "lncRNA (ENSDNOG00000052782.1)". Lineage: Eukaryota; Metazoa; Chordata; Mammalia; Cingulata; Dasypodidae. The record is from RNAcentral.